CUCAGCUACGCCAAUCUCUGUAUAACCACCAUUGAUUCAUAGAUGAUUAGGCAUACUAUUUUCUAAGACACGUCUGCCAUAGAAUUUAGUCUCACCAAAGACGGGUCGAAAAGGAAUUCAAACAGCCAUCACAGAUUUACUAUAACAAAAAAACGAACAAAUCGCUGUAAGUAUAUCUUCCACCCACCAAAUCUCAAGUGCCUUAUCCGCAUUCAUAUUUAUAUAUAUGCCAUCAUGUAAUUUUUAAAAUUUAUGACACGUGAAUAUAUUUAGAGCUGUAAUUAUAAUCUCAGUGAAUGCUUGAACCACACGUGAAUAUAUUUGGGAUAUCUGAGAUAUAUGCAAGCAUUCAAAAUUUGGUGGGUCUGAGCUAUGUUUGAGAUAUAUUUGAGAUAUCUUGGGUCGGGCAUUAUUUGAGUUAUAUGUUACCCGACAGAAAGUGUUAUUCUUAUUUGUCUCAACAGUUGUAUUGCACAUGUAACUCAGCAGAUGGCACCUGUUAGUAUGAAUCCAAUGAUCUGGGCAUUACUUGAGUUAUAUGUUAUUCUUAUAUGUUAGUAUGAAUCCAAUCAUCCAGAUAACGGUUCCAUCUUUGUUUCAGCAGAUGGCACCUGCACCAUGGUUUCCACCAAUACCACCUGUAACUUGCGGUUUUUGGAAUGCCACAAAUGUGCAAGGUUUCCUAAAAGAAUUCCAUAACACUCUUGAUCUUGCAGAAGCAAUGUGAGUAUACAAUAAUCAUUUCUAAAGCGAGCUGUUCAACUUUUAGUGUGAUAGAUCUUUAAGAUUUAGGGUUUCUUGUUGGGAGAAACAGUUGGAGAUGUUUAUUGCAAUGAAAGGUAUAUUACUGGUGCUAAUUUUUUAUUUAAUUAUCUGAUGUUUAGCAUUGCUAACAGUUAUCAGGUCCCAUUCAAUCUAAACUUUUCAACUCAAGCAUGAGCCUAAUAUAUUUCAUAUAAGGGUUGUUCAAUAUAAAAUUCCAGACCAUGUUCACUUAUCUGAAGACUGUAGACAUCUUCUUUCUCGUAUAUUCGUUGCCAAUCCAUCCAAAAGGAUCACCCUAAAGGAAAUUAAAAGUCAUCUGUGAUUUCUAAAGAACUUACGGUGAGAACUAACAGAAUCCACAAAGGCUGCGUAUUACAGGAAGGAAAACCCGACGUUUUCUAAAAACCACCCGUGUUUGCACACGGGUCGUACCGCUAGUACUAAUAAAAGAAUGAAGUUAAUGCCAAAUGGCAUUCUCUCAUUUCAUUUACUU
Molecule: long non-coding RNA, 1258 nt
Organism: Helianthus annuus (common sunflower)
Lineage: Eukaryota; Viridiplantae; Streptophyta; Magnoliopsida; Asterales; Asteraceae
Exons: 3
Source: RefSeq, a predicted model, not a curated record